GUAUGUUAAUAAAGUGUGACUUUGAUGAACAUAUUAUACAAUGUAGUUACUGAGGUAUGCUAAUGAAGUGUGACUUUGAUGAACAUAUUAUACAAUGUAGUAACUGAGGUAUGCUAAUGAAGUGUGACUUUGAUGAACAUAUUAUACAAUGUAGUUACUGAGGUAUGUUAAUGAAGUGUGACUUUGAUGAACAUAUUAUACAAUCAAGUUACUGAGGUAUGCUAAUGAAGUGUGACUUUGAUGAACAUAUUAUACAAUGUAGUUACUGAGGUAUAUUAAUAAAGUGAGACUUUGAUGAACAUAUUAUACAAUCAAGUUACUGAGGUAUGCUAAUGAAGUGUGACUUUGAUGAACAUAUUAUACAAUGUAGUUACUGAGGUAUGUUAAUAAAGUGAGACUUUGAU
Long non-coding RNA from Pecten maximus, 404 nucleotides. RefSeq lists it as uncharacterized. The transcript is spliced from 2 exons. Lineage: Eukaryota; Metazoa; Mollusca; Bivalvia; Pectinida; Pectinidae. The record is from RefSeq and is a predicted model, not a curated record.